RNAcentral lists this long non-coding RNA (3139 nucleotides) under Cottoperca gobio. Its description in RNAcentral is "lncRNA (ENSCGOG00000002925.1)". The record is from RNAcentral. Lineage: Eukaryota; Metazoa; Chordata; Actinopteri; Perciformes; Bovichtidae.
GGAGUCACCUGCAUCAUCUUCUGUGUGCUUUUCCUCGUCUUCAGCUACCACGGCAGGUUAAUGAUGUGUAAGGCGGUUCAGGCCACCCCCCAGGCAGGGCACAGCGCAGUGCUGGAAUCCUCUUCCUCUUCCCAGGGGGCUUCUGGGCUCAACGGGGCUGCCAGGAGAGAGUUGGAGGUGAAUGGCAGCGCAGCUGGGAAGAAAGUGACCGACAGCAACGAGCUCCAGAGACUUUUUACUCAACCCACCACACAAGAGACAUGCAUGUCCAACUCCUACGUGCUGAACGACACCAAGCUGUCUACGAUACCGCUAGACGAGUUUGCGCUGGAGCAAGAGACGCAGUUCCAGGAGCCUCCUGCAGCAGGAGCGGGUCGGCAGGACCAAGGCUAAUCAUGUAUGAGGCCAAUUCACACGACACUAUCCACAGUGUCCCCUUGGACUCUUCUCUCACUCAGGUUGACAAGUGUUUCCUUUCAAAGUAGUUUUUCUUUUUGUGCAAAGAUGUUUUUUUUAUUGGUAAAUUAAGAAGUCCUAGAGGAUCUAGGGCUGUAUAUCAGAGUGUUUUUGGCCUGAGCUCUCUUCGGAGGCAGGCCAGUGAAAUGUUCUUUAUUUUUUACAAUUUGGUCUUUUGUUAAUUUUCUGGUGUUGGGUAGCACACAGAAUAGAGGCCCCAUAAUGUCCUUGUUAUACAAUGAUGAUUUUAUUUUUAAGUUUAUAAAUAUAUAUAUACAUAUAUAUCUUUAUCACCUAUAUGUCAAAGUGGUUAUAAGUUAUUGGUCUUAUCUCUACUUUUCUGUGGAUGUCAAAGACUCCUGCUGCCUGCUCUCACCUACCAAUGAUUCCACCGUAUCGCUCACAGAAGACCUCAGCCUUCGUCCAGGGAUUCGAUGUAUUCUGUCUCAGGACUUUGUUUCAGUGAUAUCAAUAUUUUUUAUGAGUUCUCGACCUUGUGAACCUUUACGAUUCAACAAAAACCUACCUCAGCCGGAAUGAAUGUGUUGCGGGAAGCUUUUAAGGGACUUUACCUUCCCCUGUGCUCACAAUUACUUUACAUGCGGAGGAACCAAUUGGUUUGAAAAUUACAAGAUCAGGUGCCGCACUACCUCAGAUGUCAAGAAUCGUCUCUCUUCUCCUGCUUGUCGAAGCAAAACGAACAAAAACGAGUAUCCAACAUAAAGCACUUCCAAAUGCUGAAGUUAAUGUUCUACCUCAAGAUAACAAUGUUAAUGUUGUCGCUGUUGUUGUUGUUGUUUGUCUGUUUAUUGCAUAAUGAAAAACCCUCUUUUGCCCCCUCUGUGAAAUCCUGGCUUCCCUCUGUUGAUGAAUAUGUUGUUUGUAGAUUCAAUGUCAGUACCUCAUGCAAGUUGACAUACUGAUAACACUGUUGUAUGAAUUACAGUAUGUUAGGACAAAGUAUGAAUUAUGAUGUGCCAUUGUCAGCUUUUUUUUAUCAUUUGACUGAAAAGAGCGUUAGAGAUACACUGCAUUGCUAAUGAUAUUUUCAGGACUAUUUACUGCUCAACGAUACAUAAUGUUCAAUUGGACAAGAGGCAAAAUAAUAAUAUAUACAGACAUCAUACAUGUGUCAAAAAUUUGCGCUGUGAUUGAAUUUUGUGAGUGAGUGUGUGUGUGUGUGUGUUGUGUGUCAUACAGUAUGUUUCAUUGAUUGAAUGAAUGUUUUCAUGUAAAGCAAGAAGAAAAUGGAGCACUAAUCUUAUGAAAAUGUUCCAAAACAUUAUUCCGCUGUUGUUGGUAUAAUGGCUUAAAGGAAUAGUUUGACAUUUUGGGAAAUACGCCUUAUGGCUUUCUUGCUGACAGUUCGACGAUACCACUCUUUUAUCCCUGCGUUAUCUAUUUAGCUAUAGCUGGUAGGCGAUUAGCCUAGCUUAGCAUGUAGCGUACAGAACAUAACUUCCCCUAAAAUCACAAAUUGUCCUAUUUACAUUACUGUUUGAGCACACAUCUAACAAUUGAGAUGUGACAUGUUAAUUAGUGAGCUUUAGAGGUGCUGGUAGGCAGAUUGGUUUAGAGCCAGGCUAGCUGUUCCCCCUGCUUCAAGUCUUUGUGCUAAGCUAGGCUAAUUGUCCUUUCAGCUCUAGCUACAUUCUUCUUGGGAAAUAUGCAUAUUUUCUUUCUGGAGGAAAUCUUGAUGAGAAGACUGGCACGACUCUCAUGUCUGUAGGCUACUGUAUAUGAAGCUACAGCCAGCUGAUGGUUAGCCUAGCUUAGCAUAAGACCUCAGCACCUAUAAAGCACACUUUUUAAUACAUUAUAUCUUGUUUGUUUAGCUCGUACACAACAAUUUUGUCAGUUUGCCGUUUUAAGGGGGAUUAUGUGCUAGACUAUUUCAUGACUGAACAGUAACUUCCUGGAGUCUCCAACUAUUACGUGAUAUUUAAUGGACAGAUGUGAGCGUGGUAUUGACCUUCUCUAACUUUUCACCAGGUAACAAAUAACCGUCGGAAAUGUUCAACUAUUCCUUCGAUUUAAAUUGUCAGCAGUGUAUUUCUAAGCUCAUUCUGGAUAUUUGUUGCUGCAGUGCUCUUAGUGAUUUUGUUUUCACAUCACAUUAUCUGCCUCUUUUUUAAACAAAGUAGUAGCCUUUCAGAUUUAUGGUGCCCAGGAGACAUGGCAGUUGCUGAUCAUGUUUGACUAUUGUUACUCUCUUCCCAAAACCACAACUGCUGCUCAGCCUUCGCCCUCCUGUCAACACUGACUAGUUAAAAUGCUUCAGGAACACCGUGUUUAUAAUAUUGCUGGAUGUUGACGACGAGAGACGGAGAGCAGGUUGAGGGAGAUAAACGUCGUCGGGUGGCUCUACAAUCACAGGGCUUCUCUCUCCGGCUCUCUGUUACUCUGUGUCGUCACAUACUGUACAGGACUUGAUGCAUCAUGGUUACCUACCUCAACCCUGUUUUUGGCCUUUCUCUCAGGUCUUAAUGAAGGAAACAUGCAGAGUAAGAACAAUGGAGUAGAUAAAUACAUACAUAUAUAUACAUGUACAUAUAUAUUUCAAUUGUCGCCAAAUGCUGGACAGACAAAGGGACACAUACAGUACACAAGCACACAAGUGGAGGGAGAACUUUUUCGGAUCUUUAUCUUGUGCACUAACUAUUAAAACGGUUCAAGUUCAUGC